This 446-nucleotide ribosomal RNA is filed under the name uncultured bacterium. RNAcentral's name for it is "partial 16S ribosomal RNA". It matches the Rfam family "Bacterial small subunit ribosomal RNA", at positions 338 to 795 of the family's 1533-position model. The record is from RNAcentral.
CCUACGGGUGGCAGCAGUCGAGAAUCAUUCACAAUGGGGGAAACCCUGAUGGUGCGACGCCGCGUGGGGGAAUGAAGGUCUUCGGAUUGUAAACCCCUGUCAUGUGGGAGCAAAUUAAAAAGAUAGUACCACAAGAGGACGAGACGGCUAACUCUGUGCCAGCCGCCGCGGCAAUACAGAGGUCGCAAGCGUUGUUCGGAAUCACUGGGCGUAAAGCGUGCGUAGGCUGCUUAGAAAGUCGUGGGUGAAAGGCGCGGGCACAACCCGCGGACGGAACAUGAUACUGCGAGACUAGAGUGAGGGAGGGGGAACCGGGAUUCUCGGUGUAGCAGUGAAAUGCGUAGAUAUCGGGAGGAACACUCGUGGCGAAGGCGGGUUCCUGGACAGUAACUGACGCUGAGGCACGAAGGCCAGGGGAGCGAAGGGGAUUAGAUACCCGGGUAGUC